This is a long non-coding RNA of Callithrix jacchus (white-tufted-ear marmoset), 1566 nucleotides long. RefSeq lists it as uncharacterized. The record is from RefSeq and is a predicted model, not a curated record. NCBI's taxonomy places the organism in Eukaryota, Metazoa, Chordata, Mammalia, Primates, Cebidae.
GGGGGUCCCCAGGAGAGGUGGGGACAGGGAGAGACCGGAAAGGAGGACAGUCCCUUUCCUCACUCACAGGCCAACCCCGCAUGCCUCAUUCCCUCCCUUUUAUAGGCUUUGUGAGUAAAGGAGGAAGAGAAAGAUGGUUAGAGGAGCUAAAAGCAGAAGAGGAGGAGGACAGUGUGGCUGGGGUAACAGCUGCUGAGGCGGGGUCCUCAGAAGGGUACCCUGUGCCCACCUCCUUCUCUGCACCUCAGCUUUCUCACCUGCACCUUCAAUGAGAAGUCAUGUGAGAUGAAUUUUAAUGAUCUUUUUAUCGGUGCCUGGAAGUCUACAGGGUGUCUAAUUCUGCGUGUGCACGCGUGUGUGUCUGUGUGUGUGUGUGGUGUUCAGCAAUUUCAUAAAUAUUUUUUCAGCCAAAAAGACCGAAGCAAAUUCCUUCAGUUAUGUUCAUCUUCUCCACAAUGAGCACUUCCUUUUCUGAAUGUGUCUUCAUCCAUCCCUUCACAUUCAAGAGGAUAAUGCCCUUGACUCAUUUGUAGUCAUGGGUCCAGGAGAGCCCUUAAGGAUGGCAAGGUGUUGCCAGUGGUCAGGGAGAAGGAAGGCCCUGGACUGCCGUGGGAGGCCCGGGGCGCUCACCCUGCCCUGCCAAGGCCCUUCCUCCUCCUGGCUUUGCUUCCCUUCCUUGUGACGUGAGUGCUGACCAUUAGGCUGCCCCAGCCCCUCCAGCUACACAGUGGAAAACAUCCCAGCGAGACUGAGGCUGCAAUGCACAGAAACAACCACUUGGGGGCAGCAUAAAAGAGGAAAAAAAUACCUCUUCAGAAGAAGAGGGGAAAUGUGAUAACUUGUGCGGCUGGCGCUAGAGGGCGCCGCUUUUCCCACUUUCUUUAAAAAGGUGGCUGGGGGCAGAAUCUCCAUAUCUUGUCAGGUGGAGAAGGCUGAAGAGCCUCCUUCUGCAGAUACGGCCGUGGGGGCAGAGUGGAGGCAGCCCAGCAUGAGGGCAGAAUGGGAGAGAGGGGACUGACUCACCUGAGCCUCCAAACAGGGAGGAGACCUCUGAUGGCGUCAUACAAGGAAACACAGAAUGGGCUGAUCUGGCCUGGGCAUCAGGCUGCAGAGUCACAGACCCUCUCCCCGGCCUCCUCCCCCAGGGCCUGCCUUAGAAGGGAAGAACUUGGACAACAGAUCUCCCUGAGCCUGGCUCCCAGCACUGUGCUCUGGAAAAGAAGGGCAAGUACAGCAUGCAAACUCAGCCUCAUCUUGGAAAUCAGGAGACCUCUCCCAGAGAAGACUGGAAGGACGAGCAGAAGUCCAUUCCCUCAAGGCAGAGUGGAAGGGGGCUCCAUUGCUUGCCGUUGCUUACCAGGUGGUAUUUGCCUACUGCAUUACUCAGCACCUCAUGGUCUCCCCAUCUUCAGUGUCCAGAAACCUCCUCCACAGCAAGUAUUUUUCUUUCACCUUAUAAACACAUGACACCCGCGACUAAUUGUGUUCUCCCAUCUAGCUGCAAAGAAGUUCAGAGCCAAAACUGAAGUCCAAUUGAUAACUGAGAAGGCAUUUAUGGCAAAUACU